AUUUAUUUUGUUUCUCUUCUAUUUUUUUAAUUUAUUUCAUUUUAAACAUAGUAAAAACACGCCACGAUCUUAGUGCUAUUUGUAUCUGUAGAUUAGAUGCGCGAAGUGCCUCUGGGAGGUUAGGCCGCAGUCCCUAGUUAAUUAUAUAAUUAGGGAGGCACAUUGAACUAUUAAGAUUGUAUAGAUUAAAUAAGUCAUGUAAUCAAUCUUGAUGGUGUUCUCAUCUUGAUAUGAUUAUCUCUGACUGUCUGUUGUUGCCCCCCUCACGGCCUGAGGGCUGAUUGUACUCCCUACCUAUCUAACUCUGUGACAAGUUAAAAAGUAAUAUAAAGUAUCUAUACUAUCCAGCAUUUAUCUUGCUUUAUCAUUACUAUCCACUAGCGUCAUCAUCCAACACUGCUAUGAUCAUAAAUGUAUCUUCAUCGCGUAAAAGUAAAGGAUCAAUGGAGUCCAUUAAAAUUACGAAAACCUAUGGAAAGUAGGUGUUGUGACGAAGCCUUGCUACUUACAAGAAGAAAUCCCAGCAGAAACCGUAACACAACGAUAGCAGCGAGAUGUAUUUUGGCUGAAAGUGGAGUCAAGAGCGUGAUGAAAGAUGAAAAGAGCAUUGAGUAGCCGAACACCUUCCGUGCUCCAAUUACUUCUGAAAGUCGACCACCUAAGAGUUCCGUUAAAAUAUAUCCCCAGUAAAAGCUGCCGAUGACAUAAUUCUGUUCAUAUUCAUUCCAGUCAAACUGCUGCGUGCUUAGCUGAUAAAAACACACAAAAUAAAAAGAAAAAAUUGCAUAAAAUAAAAUAAAGACUAUGAUCAAAAGGU
Molecule: long non-coding RNA, 817 nt
Organism: Bemisia tabaci
Lineage: Eukaryota; Metazoa; Arthropoda; Insecta; Hemiptera; Aleyrodidae
Source: RefSeq, a predicted model, not a curated record